RNAcentral lists this ribosomal RNA (333 nucleotides) under Triticum aestivum (bread wheat). RNAcentral's name for it is "partial small subunit ribosomal RNA". The record is from RNAcentral. Lineage: Eukaryota; Viridiplantae; Streptophyta; Magnoliopsida; Poales; Poaceae.
AUGGUGGAGUGCUUGAGGAUGUGGAGGCUGAACUGGCCGCCCUUCUCAGUCGUGUCAAGCUUGUCCUGGCCGGGCGGCGGCGAGAGCACGAAGUUCUGGACGAGGCGGCCGAUGGUGAUGCCGAGGAUGGGGAGCGCGAGGAUGAUGCCGGGGCAGCUCCGACGGCCGACGCCGAAGGGCAGGUACCUGAAGUCGUUGCCGUUGGCCUCCACGUGCUUCUCCUCCUCGAGGAACCUCUCGGGGCGGAACUCGUCGGGCCGCUUCCACUGCUCGGGGUUGUUGGCGAGGAACCAGGCGUUGACGAGGAUCUUGCUCUCGGCGGGGAUGUUGUAG